This 490-nucleotide ribosomal RNA is filed under the name uncultured bacterium. Its description in RNAcentral is "partial 16S ribosomal RNA". It matches the Rfam family "Bacterial small subunit ribosomal RNA", at positions 29 to 505 of the family's 1533-position model. The record is from RNAcentral.
AGUGAACGCUGGCGGUAGGCCUAACACAUGCAAGUCGAACGGCAGCACAGUAAGAGCUUGCUCUUACGGGUGGCGAGUGGCGGACGGGUGAGGAAUACAUCGGAAUCUACUUUUUCGUGGGGGAUAACGUAGGGAAACUUACGCUAAUACCGCAUACGACCUACGGGUGAAAGCAGGGGAUCUUCGGACCUUGCGCGAUUGAAUGAGCCGGUGUCGGAUUAGCUAGUUGGCGGGGUAAAGGCCCACCAAGGCGACGAUCCGUAGCUGGUCUGAGAGGAUGAUCGGCCACACUGGAACGGAGACACGGUCCAGACUCCUACGGGAGGCAGCAGUGGGGAAUAUUGGACAAUGGGCGCAGGCCUGAUCCAGCCAUACCGCGUGGGUGAAGAAGGCCUUCGGGUUGUAAAGCCCUUUUGUUGGGAAAGAAAAGCAGCAGGUUAAUACCCCGCUGUUCUGACGGUACCCAAAGAAUAAGCACCGGCUAACUUCG